GAUGAAGAACGCAGUGAAAUGCGAUAAGUAAUGUGAAUUGCAGAAUUCAGUGAAUCAUCGAAUCUUUGAACGCACAUUGCGCCCCCUGGUAUUCCAUGGGGCAUGCCUGUUCGAGCGUCAUUUGUACCUUCAAGCUUUGCUUGGUGUUGGGUGUUUGUCCAUUCUCUUGCAGAGGGACUCGCCUUAAAGUAAUUGGCAGCCAGUGUUUUGGUUUUGAAGCGCAGCACAAGUCGCGAUUCAAAGCUAUACGCCCGCUUCCACAAGCCUUUUUCACUUUUGACCUCGGAUCAGGUAGGGAUACCCGCUGAACUUAAGCAUAUCAAUAAGCGGAGGA
This 334-nucleotide unclassified non-coding RNA is filed under the name soil metagenome. RNAcentral describes it as "partial contains 5.8S ribosomal RNA, internal transcribed spacer 2, and large subunit ribosomal RNA". The stretch from base 1 to 120 matches the Rfam family "5.8S ribosomal RNA", at positions 35 to 154 of the family's 154-position model. The record is from RNAcentral.